UACACUUGACAUCCUCACAACUUACCCUAAAUGGAUGGGUGCCUUCGGGAACUCUGAUAC
This 60-nucleotide ribosomal RNA is filed under the name uncultured bacterium. RNAcentral's name for it is "partial 16S ribosomal RNA". The record is from RNAcentral.